GGGCGGGGCCGCGCGCUCGCCCGCCCAUCCCGCGGCCGCCCGGGUCCGCCGCGCCGCUCCGCGCCUCGCUGCGGCCGCUCGGGGAGGGGUCGGGUCACGUUCCGUUCCGGAGUUCGGCGACUCGCAGGCAGGUUCCGCAGGCGCCGCUGGGAGGAGCCGGGGCUGCCCGAGGAGGCGGCCCCGCGGCCUCCUCCUUCCGCGCCCGCGCGCCCGCCGGCCGCGACCCCGGGCCCGGGGCUGCGCCCCAACAGAUUUAUUCAUUAGAGGAGAGAGAGAACGCAAGCAGAGAAGAGGGAGAAGCAGGCUCCCCAUUCAGCAGGGACCCUGAUGCGGGAUUUGAUCCCAGGACUCUGGGAUCAUGAUCUGAGCUGAAGGCUGAUGCUUAACCUAAUCAGACACCCAGUCACCCCAAGAAGCUUGACUGUUAAGGAAAAAAGGAUCAUACCUCGCUACAGACAGACGCUCCACACCCAGCAUGGAACCCAACGUGGGGCUUGAACUCAUGACCCUGAGCUCAAGACCUGAGCUGAAAUCAAGAGUUUGAUGCUUAACCGACUGAACCACCCAGGCUCCCUAAUAGUGACAUUCUUAAAAGAAAUAGCAAAGUCAAAGUUGGAGGUCUGAUUGGGGUGGGGGAGGUGGAUUGAGCUACAUUUUAGACAUGUCAUAUUUAGGUUUAUGAUGGACAGUGAAUUGAAAAUAUUCACAAGAAACGACUGCUGGCCAGUGAUAUUUUCGACAAGAGGCACAUUCUAGGAAGAUCUGUGAAAAGCAGACAUCUGGAGGAUGGAUGCCCACCACGAAGUAUUACCCGCACCUCUCCCCACAACCUCUAUUUAUUAGUAGAAAUUACCCUAGCAAUGCACAGCCCCUAAAUGGGUUGACUUCCCGGCUGAGCAGCUCUCCAGGCAGGACAGAUAUGAAAGUAGUGAAGUGCGGAGGCUCUGGGGCCAGAUCUGUUUGCUUCCCACCUCUGCCACUUACUACUAUCUGAUUUCAAGAAAACUAGCACACUAAACUUCUGUUCUCUUAUUUACAAAACGGAAUAAUACAAAUUUCCAUCUCAUUGGCUUGAUGAGAGGAUUACAUGAGACUCUUUAAGUGUAGCCCUUUAUAAAAGGUUUAUAAGAUGUGAUAUAAAUGCCAAGGAUGGCUAUUAAUCCUGUCUCUCCUAGAGGUUAUGAGUUAUAUUUAUAUUUCUUAUCCAUCCAUUAUGGUGCCAAACACAAGAAGCACUCUCUUCUAACUGCUGAUCACUUUGCCCCCUUAACAGUGGUCUUCUGCCUCUCCCUGUGUCUUAGUCCCUUUGGGAACUUUGUUACCUUUGAUUGUGUGAAGGCCUUGAAUGUCAAGCAGCAUCUCUGGGGCAAGAUAGUCUGUCCACCUUGGGAGAAACCCACUGUAUUAGUUUUCUAUUGCUGCUCUAAAGAAAUUACCACAUGCCUUAGUAGCUAAAAACCACAGAGUUGGGUGCUCAACUGACUGAGCCACCCAGGCGCCCCCUACAUUUAUUUCUUUACCAGAACCUCAACAGCCGUGUUUUCAUUUUAGCUCCAAUUGAUGAUUAAUGGACAGCAGAGUAUGUCUUAAGAAAGACAGGUGAAAAAUAUCAGGUUGCAAGGCAAAGCAUGUAAAUAUAUCUGAGAAUGGAAUUUUUUUUAAGGAGUAAAAGGCCAUCAGUACUAUUUUAAGAGUACCAGGAGCUCAAACACUUGUAGCUGAAAAAUGGGUAAAACCUCAAUACCUUUGAGUUUCCCUCUGAAAUUCAGUAUUCCUGUCUUUUAAACUCUUUCACCUCCAACACAUAUAAAUGUGCUCAAAAUUAAUCGUCCAAAUGCUCAGUGAAGAUAAUUUUAAAAAUUUUUUCAUCAUUGAUCCUAAUUUUCCAGCAGAUAGGAGGCUAGCCUUAGUAUGGGAUUGGCAAAAUACUUAACUUGAAAAAUGGGACAUGCUAGCACUUUAGCUUUGGGCAGGACUCAAGAGAAAGCAAGGAGAGAGAGCCAACAAGUAUUAAACACCUCUUAUUGCCAAACACUGCAUUUACAUGUAUUGUCUCAAUUAAUUCUCACAACUCCAGUAGGUAGGCAUUGUUAUCCCCACUUCAAAGAUAAAGGAAUUGAGGCUUCAAGAUGUGAAGAGACUCUUCCACAAUCACACGGCUAGAAAGUGGCAGAACUGGGAUUACUGUCCAAUUCUACAUGAGUCAACACCCAUUCAUCCUCUUCCCACGGCCCUCAACUCCGCUUCCCUGAGUCCCAGUUUCCUCAUCUACAAAAUGAGAGAGUUGAGUCAGAUAAUCUCCCAAGGUCCCUCACACUCUUACCGCAGGGCCUCGGUGCUUGGGAGGGGAACAAGGAAUUGGGAAGGGGGCUCCGGCACCAGGCCGAAUGUCUUUCUCUCUUAUGUGGGAAAGUACUGGGACUCUGUCCUCCUGUACAUCUUGAUUCCCUGACUUCUGAAAGGAGGCUG
Mirounga angustirostris (Northern elephant seal) is the source of this 2469-nucleotide long non-coding RNA. RefSeq lists it as uncharacterized. Lineage: Eukaryota; Metazoa; Chordata; Mammalia; Carnivora; Phocidae. The record is from RefSeq and is a predicted model, not a curated record. The transcript has 3 exons.